ACCGGGCGCAGUGGCGCGUGCCUGUAGUCCCAGCUACUCAGGAGGCUGAGGUGGGAGGAUCGCUUGAGCCCAGGAGUUCUGGGCUGCAGUGUGCUAUGCUGAUUGGGUGUCCGCACUAAGUUCGGCAUCAAUAUGGUGACCUCCCUGGAGCAGGGGACCACCAGGUUGCCUAAGGAGGGGUGAACCGGCCCAGGUCGGAAAUGGAGCAGGUCAAAACUCCCAUGCUGGUCAGUAGUGGGAUCACGCCUGUGAAUAGCCACUGCACUCCAGCCUGGGCAACAUAGCAAGACCCCGUCUCU
Molecule: signal recognition particle RNA, 299 nt
Filed under: Aotus nancymaae (Ma's night monkey)
Lineage: Eukaryota; Metazoa; Chordata; Mammalia; Primates; Aotidae
Description: Metazoan signal recognition particle RNA (ENSANAG00000005316.1)
Rfam family: Metazoan signal recognition particle RNA
About the family: The signal recognition particle (SRP) is a universally conserved ribonucleoprotein. It is involved in the co-translational targeting of proteins to membranes.
Source: RNAcentral